This 251-nucleotide ribosomal RNA is filed under the name uncultured bacterium. RNAcentral describes it as "partial 16S ribosomal RNA". It matches the Rfam family "Bacterial small subunit ribosomal RNA", at positions 524 to 776 of the family's 1533-position model. The record is from RNAcentral.
UACGUAGGGUGCAAGCGUUAAUCGGAAUUACUGGGCGUAAAGCGUGCGCAGGCGGUUAUGUAAGACAGAUGUGAAAUCCCCGGGCUCAACCUGGGAACUGCAUUGUGACUGCAUAGCUAGAGUACGGUAGAGGGGGAUGGAAUUCCGCGUGUAGCAGUGAAAUGCGUAGAUAUGCGGAGGAACACCGAUGGCGAAGGCAAUCCCCUGGACCUGUACUGACGCUCAUGCACGAAAGCGUGGGAGCAAACAGG